GAACCUACUGAAUUCACCAUGAUACUUAGAUUCGGUCCCUGAAAAUGUUGCUAUAUCUUGAAGAGUACAGUUACACAAGCAUGUCCUAUUGUGAACUCACUGAAUUCACCUGAAAUUUUGAUUCACAUUAGUGAAAAAUUUUCGGUAUCCGGAAAAGUCCACCUAUUACUCUUGCGACCUACUGGGAAGUAACUGAAUUCAGCAAGUAAUUCAGAUUCACCAGGAAAAUUUUUGAUAAAUCUUCAAAACUACACUUCUUACUGCUGAUGGGAACUACCUGAAUUCACAAUGUGUUUCAGUUCGUUAAAAUGUUGAUGUAUCUUGAAUGGUACCAUUAUUAUAAGCGCGUCCUAUUUUGAACCUACUGAAUUCACCAUGAUACUUAGAUUCGGUCCCUGAAAAUAUUGCUAUAUCUUGAAGAGUACAGUUACACAAGGAUGUCCUGUUGUGAACUCACGGAAUUCACCUGAAAGUUUGAUUCCAUUGGUGAAAAUUUUUCUAUAUCCCGAAAAGUCCACUUACUACUAUUGCGACCUACUGGGAACUAACUGAAUUUGCCAAGUUACUUAGAUUCGGCUCGCGAAAUUUUGAUAAAUCUUUCAAAGUACACAUAUUAUUAGAGCCUUCUAAUGGGAACUACCUGAAUUAAUAAAGAAACUAUGCUUCAA
Molecule: long non-coding RNA, 668 nt
Filed under: Rattus norvegicus (Norway rat)
Lineage: Eukaryota; Metazoa; Chordata; Mammalia; Rodentia; Muridae
Description: long non-coding RNA NONRATT005224
Source: RNAcentral